This 220-nucleotide long non-coding RNA is filed under the name Mytilus galloprovincialis (Mediterranean mussel). The record is from RNAcentral. Lineage: Eukaryota; Metazoa; Mollusca; Bivalvia; Mytilida; Mytilidae.
GGACAGACGGACGAACGAACAGACGAACGAACGAACGAACGAACAGACGGACGAACGGACGCACAGACCAGAAAACAUAAUGCCCCUCUACUAUCGUAGGUGGGGCAUAAAAACUAAAUUUGAGGUACUUUUUAGAAAUUCCCUAUCAUAAUGACUAUGUAUGUAAAGUUACAAAUGGAUGCAACUAUAACUUCAUCAUAAACUACCUCGACCAAAAACU